RNAcentral lists this ribosomal RNA (352 nucleotides) under uncultured bacterium. RNAcentral describes it as "bacterial SSU rRNA". It matches the Rfam family "Bacterial small subunit ribosomal RNA", at positions 8 to 353 of the family's 1533-position model. The record is from RNAcentral.
AGAGUUUGAUCAUGGCUCAGGAUGAACGCUAGCGACAGCGGGGUUAACACAUGCAAGUCGAGGGGCAGCGGGGGUAGCAAUACCCGCCGGCGACCGGCGCACGGGUGAGUAACGCGUAUGCAACUUACCUAUCAGAGGGGGAUAACCCGGCGAAAGUCGGACUAAUACCGCAUGAAGCAGGGAUCCCGCAUGGGAAUAUUUGCUAAAGAUUCAUCGCUGAUAGAUAGGCAUGCGUUCCAUUAGGCAGUUGGCGGGGUAACGGCCCACCAAACCGACGAUGGAUAGGGGUUCUGAGAGGAAGGUCCCCCACAUUGGUACUGAGACACGGACCAAACUCCUACGGGAGGCAGCA